UGUUGUGCCCCGGGUUGCAAAAACAAAUCACAUUAGAGUUUGUAAUGCACAUUUUGUUCUAGGAAAACCUUUUUAGUACACUGGAGAAACACACCCAGACUGGGCCCCAUCCCUGAAUCUUGACAAAGUGUAUUUAAACGCUAAGUCAGCCAUGGAUAGAGAGUCAAGAAGAG
This is a long non-coding RNA of Daphnia magna, 173 nucleotides long. RefSeq lists it as uncharacterized. The transcript is spliced from 2 exons. The record is from RefSeq and is a predicted model, not a curated record. Lineage: Eukaryota; Metazoa; Arthropoda; Branchiopoda; Diplostraca; Daphniidae.